AGGGAUGUGGUGCAUCUUGGUAGCGCAUUUUUUUUUGGGUAUAAAAUAUCACGGGUUCAAAUCUUGUCAUCCCUA
Molecule: transfer RNA, 75 nt
Filed under: Capsicum annuum
Lineage: Eukaryota; Viridiplantae; Streptophyta; Magnoliopsida; Solanales; Solanaceae
Rfam family: tRNA
About the family: Transfer RNA (tRNA) molecules are approximately 80 nucleotides in length. Their secondary structure includes four short double-helical elements and three loops (D, anti-codon, and T loops). Further hydrogen bonds mediate the characteristic L-shaped molecular structure. tRNAs have two regions of fundamental functional importance: the anti-codon, which is responsible for specific mRNA codon recognition, and the 3' end, to which the tRNAs corresponding amino acid is attached (by aminoacyl-tRNA synthetases). tRNAs cope with the degeneracy of the genetic code in two manners: having more than one tRNA (with a specific anti-codon) for a particular amino acid; and 'wobble' base-pairing, i.e. permitting non-standard base-pairing at the 3rd anti-codon position.
Source: Rfam by way of RNAcentral